This 253-nucleotide ribosomal RNA is filed under the name uncultured bacterium. Its description in RNAcentral is "partial 16S ribosomal RNA". It matches the Rfam family "Bacterial small subunit ribosomal RNA", at positions 524 to 776 of the family's 1533-position model. The record is from RNAcentral.
UACAGAGGGUGCGAGCGUUAAUCGGAAUUACUGGGCGUAAAGCGUGCGUAGACGGUAGCGUAAGUCUGAUGUGAAAUCUCCGAGCUUAACUCGGAAAUGGCAUUGGAUACUAUUCGGCUGGAGGUUUGGAGGGGGGACUGGAAUUCUCGGUGUAGCAGUGAAAUGCGUAGAUAUCGAGAGGAACACCAGUGGCGAAGGCGAGUCCCUGGACAACACCUGACACUGAGGCACGAAAGCUAGGGGAGCAAACAGG